AGGACAAAUACACUAACUUUAAGAACAUUUUACUUAUUUUUAGAUCUGUUUUUGCAGUGUGCUGAGGUCCUGCAGGAGACUACAGGGGCCCGAACUGCACUGCAAAGAGGGAACUAAAAUGUGCUGGAGCUGCAUGGGGGCCCGAGCUGCAGGGGCCGGUUCAGACCCAGAGUUAAGUCAUGGUUUCCUUCAGGGGUCGAUGUUCUGCAUGUUUUAGAUGUUUGAUCUAAAUAAACGGGCCCUCAGCAGGUUCCAGAACCUCCUGACAGGCGGCGGGCCCUUUCAGUGAGUCCGAAUGGGCCCACCGCCCCGUUUAAGCUGACAAGCACUUCCAGAACCACCAAAGAACCUGAACAGAACAGUGAAGGGAUGUAAAGUUCGACGCAGUAAAAACCACAGAGACGUUAAAAAGCCAUCAAGCUGCAGCAGAACCGAGACUCCGGAUCCUGCUGCUUGGCUCGGUUCCCUCAAGCAGAACCGGGUCGUCUUUUCAGGGUAAAAUGGCAAAUCGUAAAUAAAGUUAUUUUCUGAAACUGUGAUUAAAACCAUAAAAGUAUUAACUAUAUAGAAAGCUUUUAGAGGAAUUAUUUAUCAUUUCUUAUGGGUUCAAAGAAGAAUGGCGUGAAAACAUGAAGUUAAAGUUUUAAUGUGUAUGAAAGUAGCAGAGUCUAAACUCUGAGUUUCUGUGUUUAUUCUGCUGAGUCAGCACUUUAUGGGUAUCUUGUUGUUCUGCUUUAAUCUUUAAUAACAGUUAAAGUGUCGUUUCCUACCACAGGGUUAUGUAAACAUUGACUGUUUGAUUCAGAAACGCACCCAAUAAAACCCAGAAGAACUCAAACAGAA
Fundulus heteroclitus (mummichog) is the source of this 843-nucleotide long non-coding RNA. RefSeq lists it as uncharacterized. NCBI's taxonomy places the organism in Eukaryota, Metazoa, Chordata, Actinopteri, Cyprinodontiformes, Fundulidae. The transcript is spliced from 2 exons. The record is from RefSeq and is a predicted model, not a curated record.